This 73-nucleotide transfer RNA is filed under the name Pseudomonadota bacterium. RNAcentral's name for it is "tRNA-Lys". It matches the Rfam family "tRNA". From Rfam's summary of the family: Transfer RNA (tRNA) molecules are approximately 80 nucleotides in length. Their secondary structure includes four short double-helical elements and three loops (D, anti-codon, and T loops). The record is from RNAcentral. Lineage: Bacteria; Pseudomonadati; Pseudomonadota. RNAcentral also lists the same sequence under 3 other names.
GAGCCGCUAGCUCAGCAGGUAGAGCAUCGGCCUUUUAAGCCGAGGGUCGUGGGUUCGAACCCCGCGCGGCUCA